UUCCGGUUGAUCCUGCCGGACCCGACUGCUAUCAGAGUGGGAUUAAGCCAUGCGAGUCGACGUAGCAAUACGUGGCGCACGGCUCAGUAACACGUAGUCAACAUGCCCAGAGGACGUGGAUAACCUCGGGAAACUGAGUCUAAACCGCGAUAAGUCAAGAUUCCUGGAAUGGUUCCUGAUUGAAACCUAUAUGGCCUCUGGAUUGGACUGCGGCCGAUCAGGCUGUUGGUGAGGUAAUGGCCCACCAAACCUGUAACCGGUACGGGCUCUGAGAGGAGGAGCCCGGAGAUGGGCACUGAGACAAGGGCCCAGGCCCUAUGGGGCACAGCAGGCGCGAAACCUCUGCAAUAGGCGAAAGCCUGACAGGGUUACUCUGAGUGAUUUUCGUUAAGAAAGUCUUUUGGCACCUCUAAAAAUGGUGCAGAAUAAGGGGUGGGCAAGUCUGGUGUCAGCCGCCGCGGUAAUACCAGCACCCCGAGUGGUCGGGACGAUUAUUGGGCCUAAAGCAUCCGUAGCCGGUUCUGCAAGUCCCCCGUUAAAUCCAACUGCUCAACAGGUGGGCUGCGGAGGAUACUACAGAGCUAGGAGGCAGGAGAGGCAAGCGGUACUCAGUGGGUAGGGGUAAAAUCCG
This 631-nucleotide ribosomal RNA is filed under the name uncultured archaeon. RNAcentral describes it as "bacterial SSU rRNA". It matches the Rfam family "Archaeal small subunit ribosomal RNA", at positions 1 to 641 of the family's 1478-position model. The record is from RNAcentral.